RNAcentral lists this ribosomal RNA (487 nucleotides) under uncultured bacterium. RNAcentral describes it as "bacterial SSU rRNA". It matches the Rfam family "Bacterial small subunit ribosomal RNA", at positions 28 to 536 of the family's 1533-position model. The record is from RNAcentral.
GAUGAACGCUGGCGGCGUGCUUGAUACAUGCAAGUCGAACGGAGAGUGUAGCAAUAUACUUUUAGUGGCGAACGGGUGAGUAACGCGUUGGUGACCUGCCCCGAAGCGAGGGAUAACAGUUCGAAAGAACUGCUAAUACCUCAUGUGAUCACCGGUUUUAGAAUCUGGUGAUUAAAGGUGAAAAUCACUUCGGGAGGGGCCUGCGUCCCAUCAGCUAGUUGGUAAGGUAAUGGCUUACCAAGGCGAUGACGGGUAGGGGACCUGAGAGGGUGGCCCCCCACAAUGGAACUGAAACACGGUCCAUACACCUACGGGUGGCAGCAGUAGGGAAUAUUGCAAAUGGGCGAAAGCCUGAUGUGGCAACGCCGCGUGUGCGAUGAAGGUCUUCGGAUUGUAAAGCACUUUUUGGAGGGAAUAGGAAGGAAGGUACCUCCAGAAUAAGUCUCGGCUAACUACGUGCCAAGCAGCCGCGGUAAUCUAGUCUACG